CUAUCAUCCUAACCGCACAUCCUUUCAUCCAACGGCCAAAAAUUCAAUAAUACCAAGGGCUUGGUACUAUUGAUAGUAUAGUAGCAUAAUUCUCUCUCUCUCUCUCUAUAUAUAUAUAUAUAUAAUUGAGCUCCUAUGCUCUUAAAAGUACCAAGUCAUUGGUACUUAUAAGUUUUUGGCUCUUGAAUUAAGGGAUGUGCGGUUAAGAUGAUGUGGAACCCCUAGGGUUGAGUGGGUGGUUGGUUGAAUAGUAUAAUCUAACGUAUAAAAAUGAUCAAAGGUAUAGAUCUAACGGUAAAAAAUUUACAAGCACCCAAAAGGAUCCACAUCAUCCUAACCGCACAUUUUUUAAUCCAAUGGCCAAAAAUCUAUAAAUACCAAUAAUGUGAUACUUUUAAAAGUAUAGAAGCUCAAUUCAUAUAUAUGUAUAAUAUUUUCGUAGAAGAGCUGCUGUUUCCUUUGAGGUGAUUCCCAUGUAUGUCGCUUAAUUUAUCUAGGCUAAAAUAUAGAAAAUAAUUCUAGAAUUUUGGCAAUUAUUGUUUUGCUUUUAAGUAGUUUUAAUAAUGAAGAUUCAGCGAUCGGCUCCGUUAAAUAUGAUUUACAGUUUUGAAACUAUUUAAAAACUAAAUUUUAUAAUUUUUUAACUUUGUUUACCUAAUGAACAAAUAGCCUCAAAAUAAACAACUAAAAAUAAAAAUCUCAUAAAAAAUAGUGAUAAAAAACUUGAAUUUCAAAUUGAAAAUAUUGAUUUUAGUCUCAAUGGUAAGUAAAAUUUUCUAUUAAAAGAUUAUCUAAUUUGAAUUGUUCUACAUCGUUGAACUUAUAAACAUACUACAUCGGCCAUUAAAAUAGUAAUUUUUAAGACCAUUUGAUCACUUGACAAAUAAUGUUGAAAAAAAGUUAUGAUAUUUAAUUACUAUAUAUAUAUAUAUAUAUAUAUAUAUAUAUAUAU
This 952-nucleotide long non-coding RNA is filed under the name Ananas comosus (pineapple). RNAcentral's name for it is "long non-coding RNA (ACOM_LNC005990)". Lineage: Eukaryota; Viridiplantae; Streptophyta; Magnoliopsida; Poales; Bromeliaceae. The record is from RNAcentral.